CGGGAUGUGGCCUAGUCCGGUUAUGGCGUCUGGCUUGGGACCAGAAGAUCGGGGGUUCGAAUCCCUCCAUCCCGA
RNAcentral lists this transfer RNA (75 nucleotides) under Spirochaetes bacterium GWE1_32_154. RNAcentral describes it as "tRNA-Pro". It matches the Rfam family "tRNA". Rfam says of the family: Transfer RNA (tRNA) molecules are approximately 80 nucleotides in length. Their secondary structure includes four short double-helical elements and three loops (D, anti-codon, and T loops). RNAcentral also lists the same sequence under 3 other names. The record is from RNAcentral. Lineage: Bacteria; Pseudomonadati; Spirochaetota.